This 714-nucleotide ribosomal RNA is filed under the name uncultured organism. RNAcentral describes it as "SSU rRNA". It matches the Rfam family "Eukaryotic small subunit ribosomal RNA", at positions 486 to 1215 of the family's 1831-position model. The record is from RNAcentral.
UACGGCCUUAUACGUCGUAUAAUUGGAAUGAGUACAAUUUAAAUCCCUUAACGAGGAACAAUUGGAGGGCAAGUCUGGUGCCAGCAGCCGCGGUAAUUCCAGCUCCAAUAGCGUAUAUUAAAGUUGUUGCAGUUAAAAAGCUCGUAGUUGGACCUUGGACCUGGACAGGCGGUCCGCCUCACGGCGAGUACUGUCUUGCUGGGUCUUUCCUCUUGGUGAUCUGUUGUUUCGGCAGCAGGGAACCAGGACCUUUACUUUGAAAAAAUUAGAGUGUUCAAAGCAGGCUCGACGCCGGAAUAUAUUAGCAUGGAAUAAUAAAAUAGGACGUGCGGUUCUAUUUUGUUGGUUUUUGGAAUCGCCGUAAUGAUUAAUAGGGACAGUCGGGGGCAUUAGUACUCACAUGCUAGAGGUGAAAUUCUUGGAUUUUGUGAAGACUAACUUCUGCGAAAGCAUUUGCCAAGGAUGUUUUCAUUAAUCAAGAACGAAGGUUAGGGUAUCGAAAACGAUUAGAUACCGUUGUAGUCUUAACAGUAAACUAUGCCGACUAGGGAUCGGUCGAUGUUAUCUUUUUGACUCGAUCGGCACCUUACGAGAAAUCAAAGUUUUUGGGUUCUGGGGGGAGUAUGGUCGCAAGGCUGAAACUUANAGAAAUUGACGGAAGGGCACCACCAGGAGUGGAGCCUGCGGCUUAUUUUGAUUCAACACGGGGAAACU